RNAcentral lists this ribosomal RNA (336 nucleotides) under uncultured bacterium. Its description in RNAcentral is "bacterial SSU rRNA". It matches the Rfam family "Bacterial small subunit ribosomal RNA", at positions 8 to 334 of the family's 1533-position model. The record is from RNAcentral.
AGAGUUUGAUUCUGGCUCAGGAUGAACGCUGGCGGCGUGCCUAAUACAUGCAAGUAGAACGCUGAAGCUUGGUGCUUGCACCGAGCGGAUGAGUUGCGAACGGGUGAGUAACGCGUAGGUAACCUGCCUGGUAGCGGGGGAUAACUAUUGGAAACGAUAGCUAAUACCGCAUAACAGUAGAUAUUGCAUGAUAUCUGCUUGAAAGGUGCAAUUGCAUCACUACCAGAUGGACCUGCGUUGUAUUAGCUAGUUGGUGAGGUAACGGCUCACCAAGGCGACGAUACAUAGCCGACCUGAGAGGGUGAUCGGCCACACUGGGACUGAGACACGGCCCAG